GCACAGUGUUCGCUGCACUCACUUCCACUCCACGAUGUAAAUAUUACAAUUGUAAUAUGACUGCGUGGGUUCUCUCCAGUGAAGUGUCUCUUCUCUCCUUGGCUGCAUCUGUUUGGUCCUGAGGGGCUGUCAAUGGUAGCGGUCACCCUGAGCCUGGCUGCAUUGGAGUGCAUAGGAAUGGAUGGUCUCGCCUCACUGCAGAGGGAUCCCAACGAUGGAGAUGGAACAUCCUGCAACUGCCCUGGCAGAUCCUCCCCUUGAGGGAAGAGAAAAAAAAAAAGGACAUCACAGACACGCUGACACACAAGGUCACUACCCCAGCAGCUGGCCGACUUGCAGCACUGCAGAGUACUCUGCAGCGCACCGACCUGCCACAAUAGACGCGGUGACCAGACCCAGGAGGCCCCAACCAAGAUGGGCAUCCGGAAGGGGUGGACGGUAGGCCACAGACACCCCAGACAUGCAGCCUGGCUGCAGUAGCCUGAGGACAAGCAGACCCCGAGA
Long non-coding RNA from Entelurus aequoreus (snake pipefish), 504 nucleotides. RefSeq lists it as uncharacterized. The record is from RefSeq and is a predicted model, not a curated record. Lineage: Eukaryota; Metazoa; Chordata; Actinopteri; Syngnathiformes; Syngnathidae. The transcript has 3 exons.